This 308-nucleotide ribosomal RNA is filed under the name uncultured bacterium. RNAcentral's name for it is "partial 16S ribosomal RNA". It matches the Rfam family "Bacterial small subunit ribosomal RNA", at positions 505 to 808 of the family's 1533-position model. The record is from RNAcentral.
GAGACAGCAGUAGCCGCGGUAAUACGUAUGUCACGAGCGUUAUCCGGAUUUAUUGGGCGUAAAGCGCGUCUAGGUGGUUAUGUAAGUUUGAUGUGAAAAUGCAGGGCUCAACUCUGUAUUGCGUUGGGAACUGUAUAACUAGAGUACUGGAGAGGUAAGCGGAACUACAAGUGUAGAGGUGAAAUUCGUAGAUAUUUGUAGGAAUGCCGAUGGGGAAGCCAGCUUACUGGACAGAUACUGACGCUAAAGCGCGAAAGCGUGGGUAGCAAACAGGAUUAGAUACCCCAGUAGUCCCUGUCUCUUAUACA